RNAcentral lists this ribosomal RNA (343 nucleotides) under uncultured bacterium. RNAcentral's name for it is "bacterial SSU rRNA". It matches the Rfam family "Bacterial small subunit ribosomal RNA", at positions 495 to 835 of the family's 1533-position model. The record is from RNAcentral.
UAGUAUCAGCGUGCCAGCAGCCGCGGUAAGUACGUAGGGUGCAAGCGUUAAUCGGAAUUACUGGGCGUAAAGCGUGCGCAGGCGGUUAAUAUAAGACAGAUGUGAAAUCCCCGGGCUCAACCUGGGAACUGCAUUUGUGACUGUAUAGCUAGAGUACGGUAGAGGGGGAUGGAAUUCCGCGUGUAGCAGUGAAAUGCGUAGAUAUGCGGAGGAACACCGAUGGCGAAGGCAAUCCCCUGGACCUGUACUGACGCUCAUGCACGAAGCGUGGGANCAAACAGGAUUAGAUACCCUGGUACGUCCACGACCCUAAACGAUGUCAACGUGGUUGUUGGGUCUUCAC